Molecule: ribosomal RNA, 175 nt
Filed under: Alistipes sp. Z76
Lineage: Bacteria; Pseudomonadati; Bacteroidota; Bacteroidia; Bacteroidales; Rikenellaceae
Description: partial 16S ribosomal RNA
Rfam family: Bacterial small subunit ribosomal RNA
Source: RNAcentral
AUUUAAUACAAUGGAGAGUUUGAUCCUGGCUCAGGAUGAACGCUAGCGGCAGGCCUAACACAUGCAAGUCGAGGGGCAGCAUUUGGGUAGUAAUAUCUGAGAUGGCGACCGGCGCACGGGUGCGUAACGCGUAUGUAACCUACCUUAAACAGGGGGAUAACACUGAGAAAUCGGU